AGCUUGCUGGGUGGAUUAGUGGCGAACGGGUGAGUAACACGUGAGUAACCUGCCCUUAACUCUGGGAUAAGCCUGGGAAACUGGGUCUAAUACCGGAUAGGAGCGUCCACCGCAUGGUGGGUGUUGGAAAGAUUUAUCGGUUUUGGAUGGACUCGCGGCCUAUCAGCUUGUUGGUGAGGUAAUGGCUCACCAAGGCGACGACGGGUAGCCGGCCUGAGAGGGUGACCGGCCACACUGGGACUGAGACACGGCCCAGACUCCUACGGGAGGCAGCAGUGGGGAAUAUUGCACAAUGGGCGCAAGCCUGAUGCAGCGACGCCGCGUGAGGGAUGACGGCCUUCGGGUUGUAAACCUCUUUCAGUAGGGAAGAAGCGAAAGUGACGGUACCUGCAGAAGAAGCACCGGCUAACUACGUGCCAGCAGCCGCGGUAAUACGUAGGGUGCGAGCGUUAUCCGGAAUUAUUGGGCGUAAAGAGCUCGUAGGCGGUUUGUCGCGUCUGUCGUGAAAGUCCGGGGCUUAACCCCGGAUCUGCGGUGGGUACGGGCAGACUAGAGUGCAGUAGGGGAGACUGGAAUUCCUGGUGUAGCGGUGGAAUGCGCAGAUAUCAGGAGGAACACCGAUGGCGAAGGCAGGUCUCUGGGCUGUAACUGACGCUGAGGAGCGAAAGCAUGGGGAGCGAACAGGAUUAGAUACCCUGGUAGUCCAUGCCGUA
This 713-nucleotide ribosomal RNA is filed under the name Micrococcus sp. BAC75. Its description in RNAcentral is "bacterial SSU rRNA". It matches the Rfam family "Bacterial small subunit ribosomal RNA", at positions 77 to 804 of the family's 1533-position model. Lineage: Bacteria; Bacillati; Actinomycetota; Actinomycetes; Micrococcales; Micrococcaceae. The record is from RNAcentral.